Molecule: non-coding RNA, 124 nt
Organism: Yersinia bercovieri ATCC 43970
Lineage: Bacteria; Pseudomonadati; Pseudomonadota; Gammaproteobacteria; Enterobacterales; Yersiniaceae
Source: Rfam
GCCAUACUACGGUGCAACGAGGGCGAAAGUAAACGAUGACCCUAAAGGAACUCUACGUUAAAAUGCAUAUCAAAAUGCAAAAUUGAUCCUGACUUGGGUUUUUUGCUCCAGGAGUGAUUAUUUU